AUGACGCCGGCCAGACUCUCAGCCAGGAUGCCCCGGAGCCCAUGGCAGCCCCGCAGGGCCCCGCCUGGGGAUUGCAGCUUCCGGAGCCAACCCCGCUCUGCACAAUGGCCGGAAAUGGCCGGCUCAGGCUCUGGUCCAGGCAGCCACGUGUGGCCCUGGGAGAGGCAGGAGGGCUGCCUGCGUGAGCGCCAGGCCCUCCUGGUGGCCUGCUGUCUCUGGGUGGACUGCGGACGCCUCCCCACAGAAGGCUGGGCUGGACGGGUGUUCACGGAGCAGGCCACAGGUGUCCAUGAGGCCCAAGGCCCACCCUCGCUGUGUGGUCAGGGAGGACGCCCCUCCUCCACCGCUUCUGGCCUCUGUGCUCUGGAACUCCUGUCAGCCAGGUGGCCGCCCCCAGAGUCCACUGGACCCCAAGGCAGACCCCUGCCUCCAGAUCUUGUCACUCUAUUAGCUCCUCCACACCCUCGUGGCGGCCCAGAGCCACGGGAUCCCUCACCCCCACACCCAGCAGCCCUGAGGGUCUCCCCAGGCCACCCUCUCUCUGGCCACCGCUUAACUCCAACCAUGGUGACCAACCCCUGCCGGGUCGGGGGGCAGGAUGGGGUCCAGGCUACUGGGGGGAGGAGUGGGUCGAGGCCCCAGCUCCUGAUCCCACACCCUGCAGUUGGGUCAAGCCAUCCCCUCCCCGGUGGCCCUGCAGGGUCAGUGUUUGCACAGCUGGAAUUGCCAGAGCUGGUCUGCGACCUGCCCCCGUUUCAUUUUUAAUUGGUCCUUCUGGAGGCAAGCAUGGGAGGGGGUCGGAGUGGAGGAAAUCACCUCCACUGGGAAGGACGACUCAGCUGGGGGGAGGUGGGGAGGAGGGGGCUCUGGAAUGUGCUGUCAGCUGGGGGUCUGGAAGGGGUGGGGAAAGCUGUGUUCUCUGACCCCAGAGAGCAAAGCCCACCCCCCCCCCCCAUCUGUUCCAUCACCAUCCCUUCUGGUGGGAGAGCUGAGGACAGACAUGUGCGUGAUGGAGAGGUUCUUGCCCUGGGCCCCCACACCCCCGGGCCCCCCCACACCCCUGGGCUGGGGCUCUGGGCAGCAGGGGAGAGGUGGGUGUGCUCAGGGGCUCUGGGAAGCCACAGCCGGGACCAGGCAUGGUAACAGGGCCUAGGAGGCCAGUGGAGGCCAGCCUGGUGGGGCGAACACUGGCAUGAGUGCCUUGGUCUCCUCUCCCUUGGGCAUGCCCUAAGCUCCCCCACAGCCUGAGCCGUCUGUACUCGGCCUUUCCCACGUUGUGCCCUCGGAUCCCCAAGGGCCAGGACAGAGCGAGGGCUGGGCGAGGCUGCCCAGGGCCGGAGGGCGCGUUCUGGGGCUGCAGUGGGGGGGUGCUUAGGGGUAGUUGGGCCACAGGGGCAGGAGUCGGGGGCCCUGAGUUUGGGGAAGCAAGGCCCUGGGCGGCUCUGGCCUUCAGAUGUGAUAAAGACCUGGGCUUUGCCUGAGGGGGCCCCGAAUUCCAGGCUGGAAAGUUCUAGCUCUGCCACUGGGCCUCCCUUCUGGGCUUUGUCCUCUGACUGCAGGGCUCCCCAGCUGCCGACCUCUUUGGGAAGGCCUCCCCGUGCCCCUCCUCCCACGGGGCCUGCCGCUCCUGCUUGCAGACCCGCUGCCCCUGGCAUGCUGCCCACCAUGCAGACCUGCGAGGCCUGGGUGCAGAAGGCUCCCGGUCAGUGCCGAGGUCAUGCGUGAAUGGCCUCUUGCACGAUGGUCCGAGCGGAGGCCUGGUGGUCAGCUGGCUGGACAGGAGGCAGCCACUUCCUGGGCUGGCUGGUGACUCACAGGCCCAUUUCUGGGAAAACCAUCCCCCUACCAGAUCCGGGUGGUGUGGAGCUCGGCCCAGUGGGGGCUAGCUGUGGGAAGUGUGGUU
Molecule: long non-coding RNA, 1903 nt
Filed under: Canis lupus familiaris (dog)
Lineage: Eukaryota; Metazoa; Chordata; Mammalia; Carnivora; Canidae
Description: lncRNA (ENSCAFG00030003495.1)
Source: RNAcentral